RNAcentral lists this microRNA precursor (93 nucleotides) under Canis lupus familiaris (dog). RNAcentral's name for it is "mir-8799 microRNA precursor family". It matches the Rfam family "mir-8799 microRNA precursor family". The record is from Rfam by way of RNAcentral. RNAcentral also lists the same sequence under 1 other name. Lineage: Eukaryota; Metazoa; Chordata; Mammalia; Carnivora; Canidae.
AGGGCAACGCCGGAUCCUGGGCUGUGUCCCCUGCACCUUGGGCUCCGGGGCCUGCACUCUUGGAAUCGCGCUCCAGGGGCUGCGCAGCCCCCU